RNAcentral lists this long non-coding RNA (1884 nucleotides) under Equus caballus (horse). RNAcentral describes it as "lncRNA (ENSECAG00000034615.3)". The record is from RNAcentral. Lineage: Eukaryota; Metazoa; Chordata; Mammalia; Perissodactyla; Equidae.
UGAUGCUAAGCAGAGAUGCCAUGGGCCUGUCCCAGGGCUUGUGUGGCAGGGGAGGGGAGGGACACUGGAGUCAAGGCCUUCAUGGACUGCAGGGCUGGUCGAGUGGAUGCAGGCACUCUGAGGCCGAGUCAUUCAGUGACUGAUAUCAGGACGGACCAAGUUGGAAGAAUCCAAAUCAAGAGUUACUCCAGCAGCUGCAAAUGCCAGAAGGUUUAUUACUCCGGCUUAGCUAUGGGUCAGGACUUGAACUCCAGUACAUCUCGUCUGAUCUCUGUUUGAUCCCUAAAUAUAUUGGUUGCCCAGCUGAGGAAGGCCAGAGUGUUUCUUGCUGGAGAGUUGCGGUGUCUUCAGCAAGUGAAAGAAAGAAAUGAGAAAUAAGCUAAAGCAGGGAGGGUCACGCAAUGCAAUCUUUCCAUAAAUUUGACAGAUGGAAUAACAAAGGCCAAUGUGGUGAUGAUGCUGAGUUUCUUCUGACUUUACAAAGAUGGGGAAAAAUCAUUCAAGAAUGGAAAGAUCCAGUGCCUGAUCUCAGUAGAUCCUGCAGAUGCGCAGCUUAUCAGGAUUACGGUAUGCUGAAGCAGUGCAGCCCCACCAAGGAAGAGAUGCUGGCAGAUAAAACAACAUGACCACUUCACUGUGCAAGCCAAGCCCAGAAUCAUUUUCUUCCAGGAGUCUGCAUUGAGAAUACACAUGCUUUUUACUGUGGAUUCAAGUCUUACAACACAAAAGUAUCAAAUAGUGAUGACAUACAAUCUUGAAAAGGCAACAAUUGUUUCAUAUGAAAACUGCUUAGGUGUAAAGUAAAUACAAAUUAAAAAGUACUUAAAAAUAUAGCCUAAUAUGCCGAGUUGGCCUUGUUGUUUGAAAAUUAAUUUAAAAUUCAUAAAACCAAAAUAACUUAGAAAAAGGCAACAUUUGCCAACUUGAUAAAAUCACAUUAAAGCACAUAAAAUUUAAAAAUCACUACUAUUUACUGAAAAAAAAUCAACCAAGUUGUUUUAGGAUAAUUGAUACAGAACUGUAGGCACAUUGACCAAUUAAGUAGAGAACUGCUAAUCAGACAAAGAACACAUAAUUGGCUAAAAUGUAUUUAACAUUAUUUAGAAAUUCAAAACAAAGAGGAAUCUCCCAAAACUCUGAAAAAUGGGAAAAUGUUUAAAAUUAUAGAAGUCAUUGAAUAAUUUUCUCAUGUUACUUUAACCUUACAAUUAUAUAAAGACCAGUGAUGGGGAAAAUUUAUUUUUGACUGACUUAACAUUUUGACCAAUUUCAUUUUAACCACUCGAUUUGCAGUCAUUGAGCAUAAGCACAAGGCUUAAAAUUGGAGAAUGGUAGUGAUAAUGUACAUUAAAAUUUUCUGGAGAAUUAAAACUCAGCAUUCAUCUAGUUUAUUUUUUCUCUAUUGCUGUUUCAUGGGAUGAUGGAAUUCUCUAUUACAAUUUUUUUCAUCCUUUGUUUGGAGCUAUUGUAGUUGUGGUUGUCUUGUCUAUCCUCUUUUUCUCUUUGUUUUAGCAACUCUUCAUAGAGAACUUAUGGAUUAUUUAGCCCAUAUUGUUUGGAAUGAUAUCUCUGAAUUAUAAUCUAAAUACAGUAAUUUCAUGGAUGGAAAAGUUGAGCCCAGUCCAUACUGUUUUAUCUUAGUCUAGCAUAUUUUUCACUAUACUCAACAGCUUUGGUAUAACCUUCAGGAAAUUUUUUAAAUAUUGCAUCAAAAUAAAGUAAACUUCCCCUGUAAUUUCAAAGAAUCAUGUUUUAUUUCUUCAAAUUUCUUAAGCUUUUGUUAUUUUAACAAUAUCUUCAGAAUUUAGACUUGUGCUUCUGGGAACAUGGUAUAGACAUACUUUUCUCUUUUCCUCCCACUAAGUACAAUGAAAAACUCUAGAC